RNAcentral lists this ribosomal RNA (498 nucleotides) under uncultured bacterium. Its description in RNAcentral is "partial 16S ribosomal RNA". It matches the Rfam family "Bacterial small subunit ribosomal RNA", at positions 29 to 523 of the family's 1533-position model. The record is from RNAcentral.
AUUGAACGCUGGCGGCAUGCCUUACACAUGCAAGUCGAACGGUAACGCGGGGCAACCUGGCGACGAGUGGCGAACGGGUGAGUAACGCAUCGGAACGUGCCCAGUAGUGGGGGAUAGCCCGGCGAAAGCCGGAUUAAUACCGCAUACGACCUACGGGUGAAAGGGGGGGAUCGCAAGACCUCUCGCUAUUGGAGCGGCCGAUGUCAGAUUAGGUAGUUGGUGGGGUAAAGGCCUACCAAGCCGACGAUAUGUAGCUGGUCUGAGAGGACGACCAGCCACACUGGGACUGAGACACGGCCCAGACUCCUACGGGAGGCAGCAGUGGGGAAUUUUGGACAAUGGGCGAAAGCCUGAUCCAGCCAUGCCGCGUGCGGGAAGAAGGCCUUCGGGUUGUAAACCGCUUUUGUCAUGGAAGAAAUCUUCUGGGUUAAUACCUCGGGAGGAUGACGGUACCUGAAGAAUAAGCACCGGCUAACUACGUGCCAGCCGCCGCCGUAA